This 471-nucleotide ribosomal RNA is filed under the name Klebsiella pneumoniae. Its description in RNAcentral is "bacterial SSU rRNA". It matches the Rfam family "Bacterial small subunit ribosomal RNA", at positions 1 to 470 of the family's 1533-position model. The record is from RNAcentral. Lineage: Bacteria; Pseudomonadati; Pseudomonadota; Gammaproteobacteria; Enterobacterales; Enterobacteriaceae.
AAAUUGAAGAGUUUGAUCAUGGCUCAGAUUGAACGCUGGCGGCAGGCCUAACACAUGCAAGUCGAGCGGUAGCACAGAGAGCUUGCUCUCGGGUGACGAGCGGCGGACGGGUGAGUAAUGUCUGGGAAACUGCCUGAUGGAGGGGGAUAACUACUGGAAACGGUAGCUAAUACCGCAUAACGUCGCAAGACCAAAGUGGGGGACCUUCGGGCCUCAUGCCAUCAGAUGUGCCCAGAUGGGAUUAGCUAGUAGGUGGGGUAACGGCUCACCUAGGCGACGAUCCCUAGCUGGUCUGAGAGGAUGACCAGCCACACUGGAACUGAGACACGGUCCAGACUCCUACGGGAGGCAGCAGUGGGGAAUAUUGCACAAUGGGCGCAAGCCUGAUGCAGCCAUGCCGCGUGUGUGAAGAAGGCCUUCGGGUUGUAAAGCACUUUCAGCGGGGAGGAAGGCGUUAAGGUUAAUAACCUU